This 411-nucleotide ribosomal RNA is filed under the name uncultured Actinomycetales bacterium. RNAcentral describes it as "bacterial SSU rRNA". It matches the Rfam family "Bacterial small subunit ribosomal RNA", at positions 355 to 774 of the family's 1533-position model. Lineage: Bacteria; Bacillati; Actinomycetota; Actinomycetes; Actinomycetales. The record is from RNAcentral.
UGGGGAAUAUUGCACAAUGGGCGAAAGCCUGAUGCAGCGACGCCGCGUGGGGGAUGAAGGCCUUCGGGUUGUAAACUCCUUUCGCUCGUGACGAAGCCUUUCGGGGUGACGGUAGCGGGAGAAGAAGCACCGGCUAACUACGUGCCAGCAGCCGCGGUAAUACGUAGGGUGCGAGCGUUGUCCGGAAUUAUUGGGCGUAAAGAGCUUGUAGGCGGUUUGUCGCGUCUGCUGUGAAAGCCCGGGGCUUAACUCCGGGUCUGCAGUGGGUACGGGCAGGCUAGAGUGUGGUAGGGGAGACUGGAAUUCCUGGUGUAGCGGUGAAAUGCGCAGAUAUCAGGAGGAACACCGAUGGCGAAGGCAGGUCUCUGGGCCAUUACUGACGCUGAGAAGCGAAAGCAUGGGGAGCAAACA